AACGCUAGCUACAGGCUUAACACAUACAAGUCGAGGGGCAGCACUAGGUAGCAAUACUGAGGUGGCGACCGGCGCACGGGUGCGUAACGCGUAUCCAACCUUCCCGUUACUCUUGGAUAGCCUUCCGAAAGGGAGAUUAAUACAAGAUGGUAUUCAAAUUCCGCAUGUUAUUUGAAUUAAAGAUUUAUCGGUAACGGAUGGGGAUGCGUGACAUUAGAUAGUAGGCGGGGUAACGGCCCACCUAGUCUACGAUGUCUAGGGGUUCUGAGAGGAAGGUCCCCCACACUGGAACUGAGACACGGUCCAGACUCCUACGGGAGGCAGCAGUGAGGAAUAUUGGUCAAUGGUCGGAAGACUGAACCAGCCAAGUAGCGUGAAGGAUGAAGGUUCUAUGGAUUGUAAACUUCUUUUAUACGGGAAUAAAACACCUUACGUGUAGGGUCUUGUAUGUACCGUAUGAAUAAGCACCGGCUAACUCCGUGCCAGCAGCCGCGGUAAUACGGAGGAUGCGAGCGUUAUCCGGAUUUAUUGGGUUUAAAGGGAGCGUAGACGGGAUGUUAAGUCAGUUGUGAAAGGCUGCGGCUCAACCGCAGCACUGCAGUUGAUACUGGCGUCCUUGAGUGCGGUUGAGGUAUGUGGAAUUCGUGGUGUAGCGGUGAAAUGCUUAGAUAUCACGAAGAACUCCGAUUG
Molecule: ribosomal RNA, 690 nt
Filed under: uncultured bacterium
Lineage: Bacteria
Description: bacterial SSU rRNA
Rfam family: Bacterial small subunit ribosomal RNA
Source: RNAcentral